UUUCUCCCUGCACUUUUUCAAGCGUUUUCAAGUGAAUGUGUUCUCUCCAUCCUUCCCCUAGGUGAAGGUGGAGGAGGAAGAUGAGGAAGGGUCCGUGGAGGAACUGGAGGAAGAGGAGGAGGAGGAGAACUGGGAGAAAGCCCUGUCUGUGGAGCGCUUUGGAGACAUCAUCAGUGACUCUGCUUCUACCAGUGGAGACAGGAUGGGUCGUCACUACACUGAGAAAGACUUUGAAUAUCACAGACACUCAUUUCACCAUACGCACCACCCCUUAUCCACCCACCUGCCCCUGGCCCAGCGUUUACGCAAGAGGGUGCACAGCACGGACAGAAGGCGCAAGAAGAAACAGAAGAAAAGGAAGACCUCUCUGCCCCCCUCCGAUGUUACACCCACCAUCCACGAGGUAGACGAGGAAGAGGCUGAGUCUGAGACGGAGGGACAGGGAGUGGCUGUCCCCCCCGCAGAGCUACCUGACAUCCAACCACAGUUUAGUUUGGGGAGCCAAGAGGACUUGGAGGAACCUCUCCCGCUCACUGCCUUCCACAAGGAAAACGAAGAACAUCCAUUGUCGAGGCGAGCCGCACCCCACAGCCCUACUUUAAAUUCACCAAUAUCUGUGCUUUCUGUCAGUGUUCCCCCAGGAUCACAUCCCUCGAGAUUAAACACGACCCGCGGCUGGUUCCAUAGGAAGCCCGUCCACCAUCGUGUGGCGAGCGCCCAGCGGAGCAACUAUGACCUGCGGGAGCGGAUCUGCAUCGGCAGCAUGACGGCUCUGGAGACGGCCGUCUACCAGCAGGUGCCCACUGAUGAGGCUGAGGCCCAGAUGUUGGCCAGCGCCGACCUGGAUGACAUGAAAAGUCACAGAUUUGAGGACAACCCUGGCGUGAGACGCCACUUGGUAAAGAAGUCCUCACGAUGUCUGGUGACCCGAGGCAGCAACAGUUCCAUACCACUGAGCAGCCUGAAGAAGAAGAAGAGAGCAGCAGAUAAGAAAACACAUGAGUUGUUUGUAGAGCUGAACGAGCUAAUUGUGGAUAAGGACCAUGAAAUGCGUUGGAAGGAGCGGGCCCGCUGGAUCAAGUUUGAGGAGGAUGUGGAGGAGGAGACAGACCGCUGGGGCAAACCACAUGUGGCCUCUCUCUCCUUCCGCAGCUUGCUGGAGCUCCGCCGCACCAUCACACACGGUGCCAUCCUUCUGGACCUGGAGCAGAACUCUCUGCCCGGGAUCGUCCAUCUGGUGGUGGAGACGAUGAUCAUCUCUGAUCAGAUCAGAGCCGAGGACAGAGCCGGUGUUCUCCGGGCUCUGCUUCUCAAACACAGCCAUCCAAGCGAUCUGAAACAUUUUUUUCACCGCCACCACUCAUCCAGCAGUCUUCAUGGCAGCUUCAAUCACAACAACGUCCCGGACCCCAAUCUGCCGCUGGUGGCCGAAGAGCAGGAGGAGCAUCCGGAUAGCAAAGGGCCGAAAUCUCUCCACCCUCUGCCUCCUGAGAGCCAUCCAGCUGCAGCCAGAUCGCUGAAACUCCUCGCCAAGAUUCCCAAAGAUGCCGAAGCUGUUAUUGUUUUAGUUGGCUGUGUGGAGUUUCUGGAGCAGCCGGCCAUGGCCUUUGUCAGGUUGAAUGAGGCAGUCCUUCUGGAGUCCGUGCUGGAGGUCCCCGUCCCUGUCCGCUUUAUUUUCGUCCUGCUUGGUCCCACCCAGUCCAACGUGGACUAUCAUGAGAUUGGACGCUCCUUCUCCACUCUCAUGUCUGACAAGAACUUCCAUGAGGUGGCCUAUUUCGCUGACGACAGACAGGACCUCCUGAAUGGUAUCAAUGAAUUCUUGGACUGCAGCAUCGUCAUUCCACCGUCAGAUGUGGAGGGCAAAGACCUCCUGAAGACAGUGGCCGACUUCCAGAAGCAGAUGCUGCGCAAGAGAAAGGAAAGAGAAUUCAAGAGGCACACAUCCACAGUGGGAAUGGAGUUGAACAAUAAAGAGGUGAGUCCAGAGGAGGAGGAGGAGGAAGACCAGGAGGUCGACCCAUUAAAACGCUCAGGGAUCCCUUUCGGAGGCCUGAUCCACGACAUCCGCCGCCGCUACCCGCAGUAUGUCAGCGACCUCAAAGAUGCGUUGGACAUGCAGUGCGUUGCCGCCGUCAUCUUCAUCUACUUUGCUGCGCUGUCGCCCACUAUCACCUUCGGAGGCCUGCUGGGAGAAAAAACAGAGGGCAUGAUGGGAGUGACUGAGCUUAUUGUGUCUACUGCAACUCUUGGAGUUUUAUUCUCGCUGCUUGGUGGUCAACCCCUCCUCAUCAUAGGCUUCUCAGGACCCUUACUGGUGUUUGAAGAAGCCUUCUACAAGUUCUGUCAGGCCCAAGACUUUGAGUACCUGACUGGCCGUGUGUGGAUUGGUUUCUGGCUCAUCUUCAUCGUCCUGGUGAUUGUGGCAGCAGAGGGCAGCUUCCUCGUUCGCUACAUCUCACCCUUUACCCAGGAGAUUUUUGCUUUCCUCAUCUCCCUUAUCUUCAUUUAUGAGACUUUUUCGAAACUCUUCAAGGUGUUUAAGGAACAUCCACUGAUGUCAAUGUACCCCAGUGACUCCACCCCAGCUACUGAGCUUCAACACGCUGAUGGCCCCAUCUUAAACCAGCCCAACACUGCUCUUAUGUCUAUGGUCCUCAUGAUGGGCACUUUCUUAGUGGCUUUCUUCCUCAGGAAAUUCAGAAACAGUCGGUUUUUAGGUGGCAAGGCCAGAAGAAUCAUUGGUGACUUUGGCAUCCCCAUCUCAAUUUUAUUUUCAGUGUUGGUGGAUUACUCCAUUACUGACACGUACACACAGAAACUGAAUGUGCCGCCGGGCUUCUCCGUCACCUCCCCUGACAAGAGAGGCUGGUUCAUCAGUCCCUUUGGGGACAAGCGUCCCUUUCCCACCUGGAUGAUGGGAGCAUCCAUUGUACCUGCCAUUCUCGUCUUCAUCCUCAUUUUCAUGGAAUCUCAGAUCACUUCAUUGAUAGUCAGUAAGAAGGAGCGUCGCUUGGUCAAAGGCUCGGGCUUCCACCUGGAUCUCCUGCUCAUCGUCAUCCUGGGUGCCAUCUGUUCUCUCUUCGGCCUGCCGUGGCUCACGGCGGCCACUGUGCGCUCCGUCACUCAUGUCAACGCCCUCACCGUGAUGAGCAAGGCCACGGCGCCCGGCGAGAAGCCCAUGAUCCAGGAGGUGAAAGAACAGAGGCUGACCGGCCUUCUUGUGGCUGUUCUUGUUGGUAUGUCUAUAGUGAUGACAAACGUGCUCCGCCUCAUUCCUCUGGCUGUGCUCUUUGGCAUCUUCCUGUACAUGGGGGUCACCUCUCUGACAGGCAUCCAGCUGUAUGAACGCAUCACACUGAUGGUCACGCCAGCCAAGCAUCACCCUGACCACAUCUACGUCACCAAGGUGAAGACAUGGCGUAUGAACAUGUUCACCAUCAUCCAGUUGGCGUGCAUCGUGGCUCUGUGGGUAGUGAAGUCUACCAACGCCUCGCUGGCGUUCCCCUUCGUCCUCAUCAUGACGGUGCCGCUGCGCCGCCUCAUCCUGUCCAGGAUUUUCGAGGAACGUGAGCUCCAGGCGCUGGAUUGCGACGAGGAUUCUCCCAACUUUGAUGAAGAUGGACGAGAUGAGUACAACGAGAUCCACAUGCUUGUAUAAAUUUAAAAUUGGACCCAGUCAGUAGGACUUCCUCCGCCCUCCAGCUCGGACCAAUCAGAGCAAGUCUCUUCGGAAACCUCUGCGUUUCUGGGUAAUGGUGACACAUCCAAAGGGAGCUACCGUAAUGGUGUUUGUAAAAUAUACCAAAAGCUAUGGCUGGAUGAUCACUUCUUACCUUUAGUUUAUUCCAGUAAAGAGCACCCCUUCUGUUAGAUCUCUGUGGUGGUGGUGAUAUGUUACACUCCCUGAGGCCAGAAAAUAACUGAGCACCCUACCUGAAGUGGACUAAACUAGCAACACUGACAUGAACACUUUAUCCAACGUUUUAUCCUAUUUAUCCCUUUAAUUAGUCUGCAGGUUCUGGGCAUAAGUGCAAUGAUGUUGGUGAGCUCUAGGACUACAGCAGGUUGGAUCAUUUAUUUAGACUUAUUUUUGUCCUGGAAGCGGGAAAUAGGGUCAAUUUGCUUUCAUUUCAUUUAAUUCAGGAAGCAGAUUUUAAUCAAAAUUCAUAAUUGUUCAUGUGAAUUGACCCUAAAACUCAAAGCCCAGAAUUCCACUCUGUCUGUUUCGUUUAGCUGCCUUUUUUCCUUUAAACUACUGCCAUUUCCUAUAUUUUGCAAUGAUGUGCAAACAAGGAGUUAAGUAGUCCCUUUCCUUUCUGUACAGACUUUUAGUAAUGAGCACUUUGACUGGGCAAAAGUUCACUUUUUUUUUCUGCCAACUGAGCUCCCUGGCACAAAGCCUCCUCUCUAAAUGUAGUCUCCCCUUGAAGCCAAAAUCUCUGCAGAGACUGUGCAAGCCUCUUCAAAGGGCUGUUACUGUACUUUGUUAGGUGUUUAAUGGCCAACAUGCCAGUCCACUGACCCCCACUAUUGUCACCUUGGAUGUAUAAGUAAAUAGCUAAAAUGGUGUCAAC
RNAcentral lists this long non-coding RNA (4577 nucleotides) under Sander lucioperca (pikeperch). RNAcentral's name for it is "lncRNA (ENSSLUG00000004768.1)". The record is from RNAcentral. Lineage: Eukaryota; Metazoa; Chordata; Actinopteri; Perciformes; Percidae.